This 379-nucleotide ribosomal RNA is filed under the name uncultured Chlamydomonadaceae. RNAcentral describes it as "SSU rRNA". It matches the Rfam family "Eukaryotic small subunit ribosomal RNA", at positions 585 to 972 of the family's 1831-position model. Lineage: Eukaryota; Viridiplantae; Chlorophyta; Chlorophyceae; Chlamydomonadales; Chlamydomonadaceae. The record is from RNAcentral.
CCAGCUCCAAUAGCGUAUAUUUAAGUUGUUGCAGUUAAAAAGCUCGUAGUUGGAUUUCGGGUAGGGUGGUGCGGUCCGCCUCUGGUGUGCACUGCUCCGCUUUACCUUCCUGCCGGGGACGGGCUCCUGGGCUUAACUGUUCGGGACUCGGAGUCGGCGAUGUUACUUUGAGUAAAUUAGAGUGUUCAAAGCAAGCCUACGCUCUGAAUACAUUAGCAUGGAAUAACACGAUAGGACUCUGGCCUAUCCGUUGGUCUGUGGGACUGGAGUAAUGAUUAAGAGGGACAGUCGGGGGCAUUCGUAUUCCAUUGUCAGAGGUGAAAUUCUUGGAUUUAUGGAAGACGAACAUCUGCGAAAGCAUUUGCCAAGGAUGUUUUCA